CGGCGGACGGGUGAGUAACACGUGGGUAACCUACCUAUAAGACUGGGACAACUUCGGGAAACCGGAGCUAAUACCGGAUAAGAUAUCGAACCGCAUGGUUCGAUAGUGAAAGAUGGUUUUGCUAUCACUUAUAGAUGGACCCGCGCCGUAUUAGCUAGUUGGUGAGGUAACGGCUCACCAAGGCAACGAUACGUAGCCGACCUGAGAGGGUGAUCGGCCACACUGGAACUGAGACACGGUCCAGACUCCUACGGGAGGCAGCAGCC
RNAcentral lists this ribosomal RNA (266 nucleotides) under uncultured Staphylococcus sp. Its description in RNAcentral is "partial 16S ribosomal RNA". It matches the Rfam family "Bacterial small subunit ribosomal RNA", at positions 96 to 355 of the family's 1533-position model. Lineage: Bacteria; Bacillati; Bacillota; Bacilli; Caryophanales; Staphylococcaceae. The record is from RNAcentral.